This 520-nucleotide ribosomal RNA is filed under the name uncultured bacterium. Its description in RNAcentral is "bacterial SSU rRNA". It matches the Rfam family "Bacterial small subunit ribosomal RNA", at positions 29 to 507 of the family's 1533-position model. The record is from RNAcentral.
ACGAACGCUGGCGGCGUGCGUUAACACAUGCAAGUCGAACGGAGAGAAUCAGUUGAAGUUUUCGGAUGGAAACUGAGGAUCUUAGUGGCGGACGGGUGAGUAACGCGUGGGUAACCUACCCUUUAAACUGGGACAACACCGGGAAACUGGUGCUAAUACCGGAGUAAUCUCACGAUUUGGCAUCUAAUUGUGAGGAAAGGUGGCCUCUGACAUAAGCUACCGAUAAAGGAUGGACCCGCGUCUGAUUAGCUAGUUGGUAGGGUAACGGCCUACCAAGGCGACGAUCAGUAGCCGGCCUGAGAGGGUGAUCGGCCACACUGGGACUGAGACACGGCCCAGACUCCUACGGGAGGCAGCAGUGGGGAAUCUUCCGCAAUGGGCGAAAGCCUGACGGAGCAACGCCGCGUGAAUGACGAAGGCCUUCGGGUCGUAAAGUUCUGUCUUUAGGGAAGAAGUCUCUUAGUGUGAAUAAUGCUAAGAGGUGACGGUACCUAAGGAGGAAGCUCCGGCUAACUACGUG